CGCAAGCCUGAUGCAGCCAUGCCGCGUGUAUGAAGAAGGCCUUCGGGUUGUAAAGUACUUUCAGCAGUGAGGAAGGUGGAUAUGUUAAUAGCAUAUUCAUUUGACGUUAGCUGCAGAAGAAGCACCGGCUAAACUCCGUGCCAGCAGCCGCGGUAAUACGGAGGGUGCGAGCGUUAAUCGGAAUUACUGGGCGUAAAGCGCAUGCAGGUGGUUUGUUAAGUCAGAUGUGAAAGCCCGGGGCUCAACCUCGGAAUUGCAUUUGAAACUGGCAAACUAGAGUACUGUAGAGGGGGGUAGAAUUUCAGGUGUAGCGGUGAAAUGCGUAGAGAUCUGAAGGAAUACCGGUGGCGAAGGCGGCCCCCUGGACAGAUACUGACACUCAGAUGCGAAAGCGUGGGGAGCAAACAGGAUUAGAUACCCUGGUAG
RNAcentral lists this ribosomal RNA (426 nucleotides) under uncultured bacterium. RNAcentral describes it as "bacterial SSU rRNA". It matches the Rfam family "Bacterial small subunit ribosomal RNA", at positions 376 to 793 of the family's 1533-position model. The record is from RNAcentral.